GAUGAACGCUGGCGGCGUGCCUAAUACAUGCAAGUCGAGCGAACAGACGAGGAGCUUGCUCCUCUGACGUUAGCGGCGGACGGGUGAGUAACACGUGGAUAACCUACCUAUAAGACUGGGAUAACUUCGGGAAACCGGAGCUAAUACCGGAUAAUAUAUUGAACCGCAUGGUUGAAUAGUGAAAGACGGUUUUGCUGUCACUUAUAGAUGGAUCCGCGCCGCAUUAGCUAGUUGGUAAGGUAACGGCUUACCAAGGCAACGAUGCGUAGCCGACCUGAGAGGGUGAUCGGCCACACUGGAACUGAGACACGGUCCAGACUCCUACGGGAGGCAGCAGUAGGGAAUCUUCCGCAAUGGGCGAAAGCCUGACGGAGCAACGCCGCGUGAGUGAUGAAGGUCUUCGGAUCGUAAAACUCUGUUAUUAGGGAAAAACAAAUGUGUAAGUAGCUAUGCACGUCGUGACGGUACCUAAUCAGAAAGCCACGGCUAACUACGUG
This 497-nucleotide ribosomal RNA is filed under the name uncultured bacterium. RNAcentral's name for it is "partial 16S ribosomal RNA". It matches the Rfam family "Bacterial small subunit ribosomal RNA", at positions 28 to 507 of the family's 1533-position model. The record is from RNAcentral.